GAAACAAAUGUCACAUCUUUACUAUAUAAUAGGAGUUCUGUACAAAAUAAAUAAAUAAUUACAUCAGAAGGAGACAACGAUCCAGCAACCCAAAGUUGACUGGGAGACAAUGGACUAGACCUCUCACGAACUCGUCAUAGCAUCCUCCAUGCGCAUCAUCCUGCGGUACCUGUUCUUGACCUGUGGGGGUGUGAGACAGCAAGAGUGAGCUCACACACGUUCAUCGCUCAACAAGUUGUGGGGAAUAAUGUGCAUGAACUCGCCAAAGGUGGAAGCUCAUGUGAAGUGUAAGGCUUACCAAAGAGGAUGGUUAAAGCUGAGCAUUGCUUUUAAAGUUGGUCACAAUUUUGUUAGUAGUUGCUAAGUGUAAGUAUAUACCAACCCAAAUAUGUAAUAGUUCAAAAUUUGAUAACAACACCUGCGAUGCAAUGCAUAUGACAAAUUGAAUUUAGUUCCAUAAAUUACUCAUGUGAGGGUCCGAGCUGCUCAUGACCGUGAGCACGGCUGAUAUACCAGUUUUACACUCUACAGAGGUUGCGCAUCUUUACCCACAAGUCAUGUUACCCCUCGUCUGACCGCCAUUGCAGCAAAAUCAACCCAAGGGCCUCCCUACACUGACCACUCUCCUACUGCCCUUGCCCCUUUCGAGUCAGGUAGUCCUCCACUAGCUUUCCUAAUUAGUUAGCCAAGGGCGUUCCAUACCACCCUUGUGGUAGCACUGUUUUCCCAGGUGGUUCUCCAUGUUCCAAUUAACAUAAUGAUCUUAUCAUGAACAGUAAAUAACAAACUGAUAAUAAAAGUAGGAUCAUGAAUAAUGUGUAUCUCCAUACCCAAAACCACAAUAAGCAAUAGUAGGUACUACCCAAAAAUUCAGUGGUAAACCAGGUAUAGAGAUAGCCAAACUAGGGUAAGCUAUUGGGUCCCAUCAAAAUUAACCUAUGCAGAUCAUUAUGAUUAAUAAGAACAUGAUUGGGUAAAAAGAAGUGAUCAAGGGCACAACUUGCAUGGGACUUGAGAUUCCAGGUACCAACUUGCUUUUUAGAUGACUCGUGACCUCACUGCUAAACGUAGCAAUACAAACAAACAUGGUAUAGGCAAAAUUAACAUCACACCAAACAUAAGAACAAACUGCAUAAUAAUAAUCUAGGCGUUGCUACGAGAUCGCGGGUUCGAGAACCACUAAAAUCGGAGUUACGGUUAGAGAGAUAUGAUUUUCUAAAAAUUUAGGUGUCCAAUAUAUAAUAAACUAAGUGCAUAAUUUUAAUCUAUGUUUAAUGACAAAAUAAGGUUACCAGAUGAUAAACAACAUUAUUAUGAAUUUAAUGCAACUGGAAUGGAUAAAAAAGGAGCUAAAAUGAAUACUUAUGAAUUAAACAAGUUUCUGAAAUUUUUUAUGCUAAAAACUAAUUUUAAUAUUAAUUAACCAUUUUCUGGUAAUCUAUGGACUGCAGAUAGAAAAAUCAGAGACCCAGGGUUGUUUUUGUUAAUUUCAAGGCCUCAGCGUAAUAUUCUUUUAACACCAGAGGACCGCGGCCGCGGGUUUAUUUUUAAUAAAGUCAAGGGCUUUUUUGCGAAAUGGCCGGGCCGAAGGGGGUAUCGGCCAAUCAGAACCGUAGGAUCGCGGGUCAAAGGUUAAUAAAAGAAACUGAAUCGGUAUGCAACGGUGACCCACGGAUCAAUGGCCAAGGAUACGCCAUGCCAUUCAUCUAAUCUGAUCCGCACAAUGAGAUCCAAUGAUCGAGAUACAAUCUGGUCAAAGGGGUGGGUUGCUUCUAAUCCUGGCCGAUGAUCUACUAUUCAACGACCUAGAUUUUAUUAUGGCUAUACCUUAUCACACCUCCACGGCUUAGAUCAAAUCACCCAGAUGAUACGCCUAGCGCCAAAUCACGGUCGUUGCACGCUGGAUCAACGGCGCAAGCUUGCCCCCACCUCACGUCAUCCAAGCACGGCGGCGCCACCAGCCUAGACGGCGGAGAGAUGGCCGGAGUUCGGCCACCCCGUCCAGGAGGGCCUUAUACUCUAAUCUAAAGUGUGAAUCAUAUAGUGCAAGGCAUGGCGAACGCAGGGGAAGAGUUCUCACCGGCAGGGACGAAGCAUAGAGGCCCGACCGCGGAGAGUGGGUGGUCCGCGGCGGAUUCAGUCACCGACGAGAAAUUCACCGAGCCCUGGCCGCCCACGGCCCCGGAAUUCCACACGGCGACGUCCGCAAACCUUGACAAAGCUUUCCCGAGCGCACGUUUUGCCCUAAAUGGACGGUAAUCACCGAGGGCCGAUUACGGCGGUGGUGCUCGGCUUUCCCUCCCCCUUCUCAUUGUUUCUCUUGCGGUGGCUUAGAAAUCUGCAGACGAGCAGGAAAGAGGGUCACAGCGUGGUCACUUUUAUGGUCCCGGGAGCACGCGACCAGCAGGUAUUUGGUUGCUCGCCUCCGGGUUCGUCAGCGAGGGCGCAACGGUCGCGACCGAUUCGGCCGAGAGGUUCACAAGGACCGAACCCGCCGAACCGAAGAGCGAGUAAAAUGGGAGGCAAAGCCCGCGUGAA
This 2538-nucleotide long non-coding RNA is filed under the name Zea mays. RNAcentral's name for it is "long non-coding RNA (ZMAY_LNC005471)". Lineage: Eukaryota; Viridiplantae; Streptophyta; Magnoliopsida; Poales; Poaceae. The record is from RNAcentral.